Long non-coding RNA from Alligator mississippiensis (American alligator), 1333 nucleotides. RefSeq lists it as uncharacterized. NCBI's taxonomy places the organism in Eukaryota, Metazoa, Chordata, Crocodylia, Alligatoridae. The transcript has 3 exons. The record is from RefSeq and is a predicted model, not a curated record.
ACAGCUCCUUUUAAUCCUGGUUUCCAUUUCAAGCUGGCCUCUACAGUUGUAUUCCAUUUCUCACCUUGUUUCCAUUAGAAGUCAAGACAAUUUACAAUGUGAACUCUGCUUUGCCUUGCCUGUGUGUGAAAUAACCUGACUUUGCUCUAACAAGCUGCAUCCUGUUUGAGUGGAAGCACAUGGAGCAGAGCUCACAUCCUGGAAACUCCCCAGCUGUUACUGGAAAUGUAUUUAGAAGUUGAUGUUCAUAACGGACCUGCAGAUUUCUCCCUUCCCCCUGCCUUGAUUUAACAAUUUUAAUGGACAGGCUGUCUCUGAUAGAAGAAUACAGUUCAUCAAAAGUGUCUGCAGGUUGUCAAACUCAGUGAGAUUUGGGGAUACUCAGAGGCUGUCAUGGCCAACAAGAAGAUUUUCUGUAGGGUUUUGCCAUCACUCACCCUCAGGAAAUAAUCACUCACUACAUUCUGCAUGCUCUCAUGAUAGAGCUCUAUUUGAGAGAAAAGAGCCAUUUUAUCAAAGGACAAUAUAUCCCUUCUCUUGGUCCACGCAGCUUCCAUUAUCAGGCCAUAAUAAAUCAUAUUUAUGGUCUCAGUUAAUAAGACUGAUUACAAUGCAGGUUACAGACAUGGGAAAAGCAAAGCAGGUGAAAAGAUGUUUUAAUGAAAAUAUGAUAAGAAAACAGCUUCUUCUGAACAUUUUAGGCUAUUAUUUGUAAUGAUCACAGACAAUUUUUGAUGCAUCUUCUUUAGCAAUGGUUUAAGCUGCAUAAAUUGGCCUGCCAGUUUAUACAUUGGAAUAGGAAAAAUCAUGGUAUCCUUCUUAUGUUGUCUAGAAUCAUUAUAUACAUUAUAAGCAUAAAAUGAGUUUAAUGUAUGUGCUUUGAAAUGAAGGGGAAAACAGAAAAUCAGGGAAGACUGAUUUUAAUGUUGCUCAAAAUGAUUUUGAAAUUUUCUACUCAUCUUUGUUACUAACGGUGCAUUUUCCAUGAAAUUUAGGAAUGACAUGUACUGCUUUCAUCUCCUUAAAAUUAAUAUAGUGCUCUUUCUGCUUUUCUCAAUUUCUUCAAAGUUUUUCUUAGAGCACUGUACAGAGAGACAAAGAGAGAUAUAUUCUCCACUCAAUGUGUGCACAUAGCUGCUAUUAAUACUAAUGUGAGUUAAGUGUGUACUUCUUGAGGAGAAUAUGCCCCAACGUUUAAUACUGAAAGGUACCUUAUUAAAAGGAUCUGGACAUUUUUAGUUCCUACAUGUUCAAUGCAUUAAAGCGCCAACUUCCUUAAAGUUGUGUUAAGAAGUAAAAAUAAAAUAGAUAAAAUACUGAGAUGUUUUCAGUC